Molecule: ribosomal RNA, 446 nt
Filed under: uncultured bacterium
Lineage: Bacteria
Description: partial 16S ribosomal RNA
Rfam family: Bacterial small subunit ribosomal RNA
Source: RNAcentral
CCUACGGGAGGCAGCAGUAGGGAAUUUUCGGCAAUGGGGGGAACCCUGACCGAGCAACGCCGCGUGAACGAAGAAGUUAUUCGUAAUGUAAAGCUCUUUUAACAGGGAAGAAAGAGAAAUUUGAUGGUAUCUGAAGAAUAAGCUCCGGCUAACUACGUGCGAGAAGCCGCGGUAAGACGUAGGGAGCGAGCGGUAUCCGGAAUUAUUGGGCGUAAAGGGUGCGUAGAUGGCAUAGUAAGUCUUUUGUAAAAAUGCUGGGCUCAACCCAGUAGGGCAAAAGAUACUGCAAAGCUAGAGUAUAACAGAGGCAAGUGGAACUACAGGUGUAGCGGUAAAAUGCGUAGAUAUAUGUAAGAACACCAGUGGCGAAGGCGGCUUGCUGGGUCGAUACUGACAUUGAGGCACGAAAGCGUGGGGAGCAAACAGGAUUAGAUACCCGUGUAGUC